Long non-coding RNA from Passer domesticus (house sparrow), 2148 nucleotides. RefSeq lists it as uncharacterized. Lineage: Eukaryota; Metazoa; Chordata; Aves; Passeriformes; Passeridae. The record is from RefSeq and is a predicted model, not a curated record. The transcript has 14 exons.
UGCCUGGGCUGCUUUUUUCCCUUCCCUCCUCCUCGGAGGAGUGCAAACAAUGUUCUUUUGAUGCUUUCCUGCGAGUGGGAAUCUCGCCCUGGAGAAGGAGACAAAACUUUGCUACCUGUGAAACGAAGACUGCGUAGGCAGCAGUGGAAAUGAAAGCAGUUCUAUUUGCCACGCAGGCUCCACAAAUGAGUAACUUCAGUGGGAAUUGCUCAUGAAAAAGAGAAAGGAUCACCUGGAUUCUUCUGGAGCUGGGAGUCAGGGCCAGAAAUCUCCAGGAAAGACCUGCCCAAGCAACAAGAAGAGGAUUUCACCUCUCCAGAGCUCCAUCCCACCUGGAGCUCCAGGGUCUGCCAGUGCUGGUGAAGUCUUUUUUGUGAAGCACACAGAAAAUCUGCCAUCCCAAAUCCGUCUCCUUCCCACUGGCCAACAGCCUGAGGAGGAGCUGUUCACAGGUGCUCCAUCCCAGCUCUGAUUUCUGCUGGAUAUUUCCAUAUUCCUGAUCUCCUUUUGGCAGCUGGCUGGGAAGGGAAUGCCAUGGCCAAGGAGGGAUUGCCAGGGAGGAUUACCAAGGCUCAAGCUGAAUUCCAAGGGAACAGGAGUGGUGUGUGCCACCUCUGCACCAGAGCCGUGUCUGGGGGAAACCAAGAACUGAGCAGAUCCUUUUUUAUUUCCACUCCUUUUCAGGGUGGUUUCUCCCAAACCAAGACAAGCCGUCAGAAUACGUUCCCGAGGAGUUGGGCCUAGCAAUAUGGCAGCGCACGUUCCAUAGGAAAUCCUGCAGAAUGCUGCUGCUGCUGAGCUCUGUUCCCAAGGAGGGCACAAUCCCUGCCCCGCUCCAGCCUCCAGCACUGCAGGCACUGAGUUUUCUCCACCCCAAAAUUCCAAGCCUGGAUUUUCAAAGAUGCUGCAGCACGAGUUUUGGCUGCUGAAAACUUUGGGAAAAGCUGGAUGCUUUUAAGCCCUCGAGCAGCGUGGUGUUAACAUUCCCAAAAAGCACCAUGGGAAUCUCAGUGCUCUUGCCUUCGUGGUCAGCAAGCAGAAGUCUCCAAAGAUUUGCUCCACACUCUGCAAACUUCAGGAGGUUCAAAAACGAUGACUAUUUAUAAUAACCCUGUCAAACACAACUUGAUGUUAACGCUGUGAGCUGUAAAUGAAAAGACCCAUCCCGCUCCAAAACCCGAGGAAUCAUAAUUAAAAAGGAGAAUGAAAUCCCACCACAUGGAGGAGCAAAUGUAGUGCUGAUACAUCUUCCUGAGGGAAAAUGGCAAGGGGAAAAACAGUGUCAUCUUGCCACGAUAAAAUAAAGGGGAUCCGAUGAGGGUGACAAAAGCCAUGUGGACACUACAGCUUCUCCCAGGGACUCACAGCCCGCCAGGGAUGUGGUAAGUGUUGUCCUGAUGGUUCUGUGUUUUUACAGAAUAUUGAUUGUGUCGGUGAUUUGGUGUGGAAUUGGCCUGCAAAAGAGUGAGGCUCAAAUUAGAAGCUUUUGAUUGGCAAGGUCACCACUCUGGAAAUAUCCAAGUCAUGGCAACUUCGCCCAGUUUUGCUUUCCACUCUGAAUUUUACCUUUCCUCCCAUCAUUUGAAUUCUUAAUUUCUGUUACUGAAUGUUUUUUACUCCCCUGAAGAUGUUUAAUUAAUUUGGAAGCCAUUCUCAUGUAUGCUGUCCUUACAGCUGAGCUGUAAGCAUUAUUUUGAAAAUAUUUCCUAAAUGAUCUCUGUCCAGUUUGCCCAGAGUGAAGUUAUUGACUGCUCUCAAAAAGGCCUCAAGGUUUUAUAUUUAAUGCUGAAGUCCCUAAAGCUUCCUCCCUGGCUGAACAUCCCUUCUCCUGUGUGUCUUCCCCUUUGAAUUGCUAAUUCCAAUUGAUCUGAGGAGAAAAAAAUUGUAAUAGUUUGUAUUUACUCUACUUUCUGCUACAACAGCACCUACCAAGGUCUCUCCUUCCUUUGAUCCUGUCUCCAUGAUUAAAUGCAUUCUUCCUUUCUGUUUUCCAGCUUCUCUCUGCAAACUUUCUUUCGCUCCAUUUCUGCAAGAAUUUCCUGCAAGCCCUGUCCCUGAGAGGAUUAGUGGAGGGGAUACCAAUUUUAUUUAUAUUUAUUUACAAAUGGACUGCAGAGACUUGGCCCCUUUUUAAAUAUGAGAACAAUU